This 1311-nucleotide ribosomal RNA is filed under the name uncultured bacterium. RNAcentral describes it as "bacterial SSU rRNA". It matches the Rfam family "Bacterial small subunit ribosomal RNA", at positions 27 to 1334 of the family's 1533-position model. The record is from RNAcentral.
GGAUGAACGCUGGCGGCGUGCCUUAAGCAUGCAAGUCGAACGGAGAGUGGCGCAAGGCUACAAUCAGUGGCGGACGGGUGAGUAGAAGCAAGGAACGUACCCUUUACUGUGGCAUAGCUCGUCGAAAGACGGGGUAAUAUCGCAUGAGGCCUCACGGCCAAAGAGGUUAACCCCUCGGUAAAGGAGCGGCCUUGCACCUAUCAGCUAGUUGGUGGGGUAAAAGCCUACCAAGGCGAUGACGGGUAGGGGGUGUGAGAGCACGACCCCCCACAAUGGCACUGAGACACGGGCCAUACAUCUACGGAUGGCAGCAACUGGGAAUCGUUGGCAAUGGACGAAAGUCUGACCACGCGACGCCGCGUGAGGGAUGAAGCCUCUCGGGGUGUAAACCUCUUUUGCCAAGCAAUCGAGGCUUGGCGAAUAAGCGCCUACAAACUACGUGCCAGCAGUCGCGGUAAUACGUAGGGCGCAAGCGUUAUCCGGAUUCACUGGGCGUAAAGAGUCGUGUAGGUGGUUUGCCGCAUCGUACUUGAAAGCCCGAGGCUUAACCUCGGCGUUGGGUACGAGAUGGGUAGACUCGAGGGUGGGAGAGGGAAGGGGAACUGAUGGUGAAGCAGUGAAAUGCGUUGAUAUCAUCAGGAACACCAAAGGCGAAGGCACCUUCCUGGCCUACCUCUGACACUGAGACACGAAAGCUAGGGGAGCGAAGCAGAUUAGAGACCUGCGUAGUCCUAGCCCUAAACGCAUGUCUGCUAGAUGGUCUGGUUUUACUGGACUGUCGCAAGCUAACGCGUUAAGCAGACCGCCUGGGGAGUACGAUCGCAAGAUUAAAACUCAAAGGAAUUGACGGGGACCCGCACAACCGGUGGAGCGUGUGGUUCAAUUCGAGACAAAGCGAAGCACCUUACCAAGGUUUGACAUGCUACCGUUUUAACCCGCUAGAAAUAGUAGGCUAUCCGCAAGGAUGGUAGCACAGCUGCUGCAUGGCUGUCGUCAGCUCGUGCCGUGAGGUGUUCCCUUAAGUGGGAGAACGAGCGCAACCCGUAUCCAAUGUUACAUGUUUCAUUGGAGACCGCCCUGGAAAUUUGCCAAGUACAUACGCUUUUCGUGAGCUCCGUAGCCCGCGGGCAAAUUUCCAGGGAGGAAGGAACGGACGACGUCAAGUCAGCACGGCGCUUAUACCUUGGGUCACACACACCCUACAAUGGCGAACGACAAUGGGACGCAAACCGGCAACGGCACGCAAAUCUCUUGUAAUUUCGCCUCAGUUCAGAUUGGGGUCUGCAACCCGACCCCAUGAAGUCGGAAUCG